GGACUACAACAAUGAUGGGGUGCGAGUUGUGGAUCGGACGAGGACGGUGUGUCGGCGUUGUUCGACAGUGGUGCGGUAUGCUAAUGCUGCUGAGUAAAUCCCUCUCUGUUGCUGCUGUGUCUCCAGAGGAGCAGCGGGAUGGUUUCCCUCCGGCUCGCUGGCUCUCAGUCAGCCAAACAGAGAAGUCAUUUCCUGAGGGGCUGAGAUAAACCUCCGACCUGCCACUCUGUUUUGUUCCCGCUCACCACAAAGCCUCAUCGUUUGUCUUCCUCUCUAUUUACUCCGGACACGUUGCAUCCCAUCUGUCUCUACCUGUUUAUGUUCACUUUAGACCAGAGGUGUCAAACAUACUUCCACAAGGUUACUUUGCAAAAUGACAGAGAAGACAUUUACUGCAAUUUUCACAACUUGUAUGUAGUUUGUAUUUAUACAUUUUAGAAAUACAAGAAAUGGAGAUUAUUGAACCUUCUUCAUCAAUAGUUCCCCCUUUAGUGUGUGAGCUGGUGAGUCUGGAUUACUACACAGAUGUUGAAAUUAAUGUGAAAUAAUUUCUAGAUCUUGACAAGUAGUUGGAUCAGCGUUUGUCUUUCUCUCUAUUUAAUCCAGACACGUUGCAUCCCAUCUGUCUCUGUUUAUGUUGCCCAUUUAAAGUCCAUGCAUCACAAAAUACCACAUAAGCUAGAGUGAGAAUAAUCAAUAUAUCUACUGUUAUGUGUUUUAUUGGGGGAAUUUGUCUGGCCAUAUAAUAUGUUCUGAAAGCCAAUGUGACAUUUAUCUGUUAUGCUGGGACACAAAAAUCCCCUUCUGGUCACAAAACAGUUUUAUCUGAUCUUAAAGGAAGAUAUGAAAUGAUGAAUCAACCUCUGAUUGAUUGACCACUCACUUCUUUCAUUCACAAGACAUAAUGUGAUCAUAAACAGAGCCUUGCUUUAAUCAUGCUGUCAAUCCCAAAUAAACAAACUAAAUUAUCGUAUCAUCUUGUUAAUAAAUGCUGUUAAUUUGA
This is a long non-coding RNA of Gymnodraco acuticeps, 1003 nucleotides long. RefSeq lists it as uncharacterized. The record is from RefSeq and is a predicted model, not a curated record. The transcript is spliced from 2 exons. Lineage: Eukaryota; Metazoa; Chordata; Actinopteri; Perciformes; Bathydraconidae.